Molecule: ribosomal RNA, 277 nt
Filed under: uncultured bacterium
Lineage: Bacteria
Description: partial 16S ribosomal RNA
Rfam family: Bacterial small subunit ribosomal RNA
Source: RNAcentral
CUACCCGCCGGCGACCGGCGCACGGGUGAGUAACACGUAUGAAACCUGCCCGUAGCAGGGGGAUAAGCGGAAGAAAUUCCGUCUAAUACCGCGUAACAACCCGAGGAGGCAUCUCCUCGGGUUUAAAGGAAGCGAUUCCGGCUACGGAUGGUCAUGCGUCGCAUUAGCUAGUUGGCGGGGUAACGGCCCACCAAGGCGACGAUGCGUAGGGGUUCUGAGAGGAAGGUCCCCCACACUGGUACUGAGACACGGACCAGACUCCUACGGGAGGCAGCAG